GACGAACGCUGGCGGCGUGCUUAACACAUGCAAGUCGAACGGAAAGGCCCCUUUGGGGGUACUCGAGUGGCGAACGGGUGAGUAACACGUGAGUAACCUGCCCUUGACUUCGGGAUAACUUCAGGAAACUGGGGCUAAUACCGGAUAGGAAUCCUUGCUGCAUGGUGGGGGUUGGAAAGCUUCGGCGGUUUGGAUGGACUCGCGGCUUAUCAGCUUGUUGGUGGGGUAGUGGCUUACCAAGGCUUUGACGGGUAGCCGGCCUGAGAGGGCGACCGGCCACAUUGGGACUGAGAUACGGCCCAGACUCCUACGGGAGGCAGCAGUGGGGAAUAUUGCACAAUGGGCGGAAGCCUGAUGCAGCAACGCCGCGUGCGGGAUGACGGCCUUCGGGUUGCAAACCGCUUUCAGCAGGGGCGAAGCUUGUGGUGACGGUACCUGCAGAAGAAGCACCGGCUAACUACGUG
This 464-nucleotide ribosomal RNA is filed under the name uncultured bacterium. RNAcentral's name for it is "partial 16S ribosomal RNA". It matches the Rfam family "Bacterial small subunit ribosomal RNA", at positions 28 to 507 of the family's 1533-position model. The record is from RNAcentral.